Non-coding RNA from Oryctolagus cuniculus (rabbit), 602 nucleotides. Lineage: Eukaryota; Metazoa; Chordata; Mammalia; Lagomorpha; Leporidae. The record is from RefSeq and is a predicted model, not a curated record.
GUUCCCUUAAAGACACGAAAAAAAUUACGGAAAUGUAAACAGGUGCAUUUGCGAAAAGAACAAAGCAAGUUCAGGGCAGACUGAGACAAAGUUCACUCUCUGAAUAGUCUUUGUGUUCCACAUUCCUGGACGGGACAGCAGGGGAACAAUUUCUGUCUAAAUGAUCAUCCUAUGGGGAAGAAUCUGUCAAAACAGUCGGUUUUCUGUUAGACUUUGGAAUGUGCAGAUGAGGCUUGGCUUGAUGUCCUGCAGUUCUCAAGAGCAGCAAGGGAGUCCAGCAGAAGGAUGCUAGCAAAGACAGAACGACAUCCCAUACUGAGGAGAACUGGAUGAUCCUGCAGGAGAAAGACUACUGAAGCAAUGCACAGAGCCCCCAGAUCUGUGGUCUAAGUCCUGCUGCUGUGUUCCCGACCUUCAGGGACGGCAUCUCGCCCAUCGACUUUGUCACCCACAGGUGGCGUCCUUUCUGAGAUGGAAGUACUGGAAAUCCAUGUGACCCAUGGAAAGGCAGACGGCUGGUAAUGAAGCUAAGGGAAUGCAGCCCGAAUCAGGAGGUGAGACGAUCAGGCUUGUCUGGGAGUUGGUGGCUGCGGGCCAGCAGG